AGUCUUCUCCUGUUUGCUUUCCGAACAAGAUGUAAAACCCUCAGCUCCUCCAACGCCAUGCCUCCCAUCAUGAUGAUAAUGGACUGAACCUCAGAACCAAAAAGGAGCCAGGAUACAAGAGAUGCUGGAAGACUUAAGUGUAAAGCUCAGCCCUGUCACUGAGUCACCCGGGUCACUUCCUGGCAUGAAAUCAAGGCAUAAGCCCCAUCAGAAAUACCUGCUGUGCCCGUGGAGGGGGAUAAAGGUGUGUAACUGUCCUACACGCUGCUGUUUUCAGUCAUUGUGAUCUGAACACUCCUGUUAUGAGUGGGCGGCGACUGCGCAGUGGCUUUUGUUUUGAUGAACUGUGCUUUUCUUUGCCAUUCCUGAGACUAGCGUAGUCUCCCUGACUCUGAAGACCAGCAACAAUUUAUGAUAUGUGUGAGUCAUCGUGGGAGAGUUACAGAGGAAGAGCAGAAGUCACCCUUGGGUCACAGUCCAAUAGCAUUCAAAGGGAUGAGCAAAGCCUGCGGUGACUGCUGGAGCAGUCUGGAUGCAAAUCUGUAUGCUACCCAAAUGCCAAAGGCUCUCCUUGUCCCGACCGGCUGGUGCUGGCUUUACUGAGACUGUGUCAUAUGCUCUGCUGAGGACAUAGUGCCUGCUUGUGACUUCUCAUGGUCUGCAUAAUAGAGACAGGUAAAUGGGAAAGGAAGUUUCAAGUUGAUGUCAGGUCUGACGGCAAGUGCAGGGCUCAGGGACUGAGAAACAAGAAUCUCAUCGCCUGUGAUUAAAACCCACAGAACACCAGGCAAGAGAAACAAGAAAGAACAGUUGGCCUUCAGUGAAACUAGAGAUGAUACACUUGGAACAAUAAAAAUGACCCCGCUUCAGGCUGGAGUUGUACAUCAGUGGUGGAGCGAUUACCCACCUAGCAGGGCAAGCACCGGGGCACCAUCCCCAGCAGGGAGAAAAAAGUUUUCACAACGACAUCAGACAUUUACACAAGGGUCUAGUCCUUAAACCUAAGUUGAAAAGCCUUUCUACAAGCAAGGACUGACUUCUGAUUCUAGUUUAGUUGCUCUCUCUGCUUGUGAGGCCCCAGCAGGCCUGCUGGUUUCUUUAGGAUCUAUUUUCCCAUGUAGAGGCAGAGGUAGAGGUAGAGAUAGAGGUAGAGGUAGAGGUAGAGGUAGAGGUAGAGGUAGAGGUAGAGGUAGAGGUAGAGGUAGAGGUAGAGGUAGAGGUAGAGGUAGAGGUAGAGGUAGAGGUAGGGGGUGUGGAAAGAUGGCUUAGUUGGUAAGAGUACUGGCUGCUCCUGUACAAGACCAGAGUUUGAUUUUCAGCACCCACAUCAGAUGACUCAACUGCCUGCAACUCUAGCUACAGGGGAUCUGACAGCCUCUUCAGCCUCCAGGAGCACUCUCUCACACGCACACUUGUACAUACACACAUGCACACAAUUUUUUUUUAAAAAACCUUAAAAAGCAAAAACAGAUUUCUCCAAGCUUUAUAAGGUCUCAAACUCGGUCUGAGCUACAGUCCUUCAAACGCUCCCAGAGGCCACCUCCACGGCGUGACAUUUAUCACCUUCUAAUGAGCACUCUGCUCCUGUGUCCUGGGUUCUGGAUCUGCAGACUCACCAACUGUCAAUCAAAAGCACUCCGAAUGGCUGCAUCAUUGGCUCUGUGGUCAGCCCUGGGAACCAGAGAUUAAAAGGCUAUCAGAGCCGGGCAGUGGUGGCGCAUGCCUUUAAUCCCAGCACUCGGGAGGUAGAGGCAGGUGGAUUUCUGAGUUUGAGGCCAGCCUGGUCUACAAAGUGAGUUCCAGGACAGCCAAGAAACCCUGUCUCAAAAAACC
This 1833-nucleotide long non-coding RNA is filed under the name Mus musculus (house mouse). Its description in RNAcentral is "predicted gene 17210". The record is from RNAcentral. Lineage: Eukaryota; Metazoa; Chordata; Mammalia; Rodentia; Muridae.